GGGCCCGCACAAGCGGUGGAGCAUGUGGUUCAAUUCGACGCAACGCGAAGAACCUUACCUGGGCUCGAAGCGCAGUGGACCGGGGUAGAAAUAUCCCUUUCCGCAAGGACUGCUGCGGAGGUGCUGCAUGGCUGUCGUCAGCUCGUGUCGUGAGAUGUUGGGUUAAGUCCCGCAACGAGCGCAACCCUUAUCUCUAGUUGCCAUCGGGUCAAGCCGGGCACUCUAGCGAAACCGCCUCGGAUAACGGGGAGGAAGGUGGGGAUGACGUCAAGUCCUCAUGGCCUUUAUGUCCAGGGCUACACACGUGCUACAAUGCGCGGUACAAAACGUCGCAAACCCGUGAGGGGGAGCUAAUCGGAAAAAGCCGUGCUCAGUUCGGAUUGGAGUCUGCAAUUCGACUCCAUGAAGCUGGAAUCGCUAGUAAUCGCGGAUCAGAACGCCGCGGUGAAUACGUUCCCGGGCCUU
Molecule: ribosomal RNA, 465 nt
Filed under: uncultured bacterium
Lineage: Bacteria
Description: bacterial SSU rRNA
Rfam family: Bacterial small subunit ribosomal RNA
Source: RNAcentral